This 279-nucleotide ribosomal RNA is filed under the name uncultured bacterium. RNAcentral's name for it is "partial 16S ribosomal RNA". It matches the Rfam family "Bacterial small subunit ribosomal RNA", at positions 506 to 784 of the family's 1533-position model. The record is from RNAcentral.
UGCCAGCCGCCGCGGUAAUACGGAGGAUCCAAGCGUUAUCCGGAUUUAUUGGGUUUAAAGGGUCCGUAGGCGGAAAAUUAAGUCAGUGGUGAGAUCCUACAGCUUAACUGUAGAACUGCCAUUGAUACUGGUUUUCUUGAGUACAAAUGAGGUGAGUGGAAUGUGGCGUGUAGCGGUGAAAUGCAUAGAUAUGCCACAGAACACCAAUUGCGAAGGCAGCUCACUAACAUGUAACUGACGCUGAGGGACGAAAGCGUGGGGAGCGAACGGGAUUAGAUA